Molecule: ribosomal RNA, 254 nt
Filed under: uncultured bacterium
Lineage: Bacteria
Description: partial 16S ribosomal RNA
Rfam family: Bacterial small subunit ribosomal RNA
Source: RNAcentral
UACGAAGGGGGCUAGCGUUGCUCGGAAUCACUGGGCGUAAAGCGCACGUAGGCGGAUUGCUAAGUCAGGGGUGAAAUCCUGGAGCUCAACUCCAGAACUGCCUUUGAUACUGGCGAUCUUGAGUCCGGGAGAGGUGAGUGGAACUGCGAGUGUAGAGGUGAAAUUCGUAGAUAUUCGCAAGAACACCAGUGGCGAAGGCGGCUCACUGGCCCGGUACUGACGCUGAGGUGCGAAAGCGUGGGGGAGCAAACAGG